This 539-nucleotide ribosomal RNA is filed under the name Clonostachys rosea. Its description in RNAcentral is "eukaryotic LSU rRNA". The stretch from base 169 to 322 matches the Rfam family "5.8S ribosomal RNA". The record is from RNAcentral. Lineage: Eukaryota; Fungi; Ascomycota; Sordariomycetes; Hypocreales; Bionectriaceae.
AGGGAUCAUUACCGAGUUUACAACUCCCAAACCCAUGUGAACAUACCUACUGUUGCUUCGGCGGGAUUGCCCCGGGCGCCUCGUGUGCCCCGGAUCAGGCGCCCGCCUAGGAAACUUAAUUCUUGUUUUAUUUUGGAAUCUUCUGAGUAGUUUUUACAAAUAAAUAAAAACUUUCAACAACGGAUCUCUUGGUUCUGGCAUCGAUGAAGAACGCAGCGAAAUGCGAUAAGUAAUGUGAAUUGCAGAAUUCAGUGAAUCAUCGAAUCUUUGAACGCACAUUGCGCCCGCCAGUAUUCUGGCGGGCAUGCCUGUCUGAGCGUCAUUUCAACCCUCAUGCCCCUAGGGCGUGGUGUUGGGGAUCGGCCAAAGCCCGCGAGGGACGGCCGGCCCCUAAAUCUAGUGGCGGACCCGUCGUGGCCUCCUCUGCGAAGUAGUGAUAUUCCGCAUCGGAGAGCGACGAGCCCCUGCCGUUAAACCCCCAACUUUCCAAGGUUGACCUCAGAUCAGGUAGGAAUACCCGCUGAACUUAAGCAUAUCAU